GACGAACGCUGGCGGCGUGCUUAACACAUGCAAGUCGAGCGGUAAGGCCCUUUCGGGGGUACACGAGCGGCGAACGGUGAGUAACACGUGGGUGACCUGCCCUCAGCUCUGGGAUAAGGCCCGGGAAACGUGGGUCUAAUACUGGAUAUGACUCCACGGUGCAGUGCCGUGGGGUGAAAGCCUUGUGCGGCUGAGGAUGGGCCCGCGGCCUAUCAGCUUGGUUGGUGGGUGAGUGGCCUACCAAGGCGACGACGGGUAGCCGGCCUGAGAGGCGACCGGCCACACUGGGACUGAGACACGGCCCAGACUCCUACGGGAGGCAGCA
This 325-nucleotide ribosomal RNA is filed under the name uncultured bacterium. RNAcentral's name for it is "bacterial SSU rRNA". It matches the Rfam family "Bacterial small subunit ribosomal RNA", at positions 28 to 353 of the family's 1533-position model. The record is from RNAcentral.